This 430-nucleotide ribosomal RNA is filed under the name Clostridioides difficile. RNAcentral's name for it is "bacterial LSU rRNA". It matches the Rfam family "Bacterial large subunit ribosomal RNA", at positions 1386 to 1825 of the family's 2925-position model. The record is from RNAcentral. Lineage: Bacteria; Bacillati; Bacillota; Clostridia; Peptostreptococcales; Peptostreptococcaceae.
GGGACCGAAGCCGAGGCAGUAAGACGUGGGUGAGAGACAACAGGUUGCUAUUCCUGUACGACCGUCUACGUGUGGAGAGAAGAGAUGACACAGUAGGAAAAGCGAAGCACACUGUUGGUUAUGGGUGCACAUGGAUGAACGCAGACGAAGUAGGGAAAUCCGCUGUGUUAAUGCUGGGAUGUGAUAGGAAGCGAAAAUUAGUGGCGAAGUAGCUGAGUUCACACUGUCAAGAAAAGUCUCUACCGAGGUGAAAGGUACCCGUUCCGCAAACCGACACAGGUGGGGGAGGAGAGUAUCCUAAGGCCAGCGAGAGAACUGGUGUUAAGGAACUCGGCAAAAUGACACCGUAACUUAGGGAUAAGGGGUGCAACCAUCAGGUGGCCGCAGAGAAUAGGCCCAAGCGACGGUUUACCAAAAACAUAGGUUUCUG